UUUAAAUAUUUAUUGAGCACCUACUGUGUGCCAGAUGCCAUAAUGCCACUGGAGAACCAGCAAUGGACAAAACAAGGCCUUGAAAACCCAAAGAGGCACUUUUCCAACGAGGACAUGCAGAUGGCCAACAGACACAUGAAAAGAUGCUCAAUAUCACUAAUCAUCAAGGAAAUGCAAAUCAAAACCACAGUGAGAUAUCGCCGCACAUCUGUCAGAAUGGCCAUUAUCAAAACCACAUGAGGGAGUUCCCGCCCUGGCGCAGCGGAAACACAUCCGAUGAGGAACCAUGAGGUUGCGUGUUUGAUCCCUGGCCUCACUCAGUGGGUUAAGGAUCUGGUGUUGCCACGAGCUGUAGUGUAGGUCAAAGAUGUGGCUCAGAUCUGGUGUUGUUGUGACUGUAGCAUAGGCUGGCAGCAACACCUCUGAUUCAACCCCUAGCCUGGGAACCUCCAUAUGCUGCUGGUGUGGCCCUAAAAAGCAAAAAAGAAAAAGAAAAAAAAAGAAACAAACAAAUGUUGGUGAAAAUGUGGAGAAAAGGGAACCCUCAUACACCAUUGGUAGGAAUGUAAAUUGGUGUUGACACUGUGGAAAACAGUAUGUUUUCUCAGAAAACUAAAAAUGGAACUACCAUAUGACAUAGCAGUUCCCUUCCUGGGCGUAUAUCUGAAAAAAAAAAAACAAACAAAAAAAAACGCUAAUGCAGAAAGUUAUAUGCACCUCCAUGUUCACAGCAACAUUAUUUACAAUUGCCAAGAUACGGAAGCAACCUAAGUGUCCAUCCACAGAUGAAUGGAUUAAGAAGAUGUGGUAUAUUACACAAUGGAAUAUUAGCCAUAAAAAGAAUGAAAUUUUGUCAUUUACAACAACAUGAAUGGACUUGGAAAGUAAUAGUGAAGUAAGUCAGACAGAGAAAGACAAAUACUGUAUCAUAUCACUUAUAUGUGGAAUCUAAAAAAUGUAACAAACUAGGAGUUCUCUGGUGGCUCAGCAGGUUAAGGACCUGAUGUUGUGACAGCUGUGGCAUGGGUUUGAUCCCUGGCUGGGGAACUUCUGCAUGCCAUGAGUACAGCCAAAAAAAAAACAAAACAAAUAAGCUACGAGGAUAUAUUGUACAACACAGGAGAUCUGGCCAAUAUUUUAUAAUAAGUAUAAAUGGAGUAUAACUUUUAAAAAUUGUGAAUCAGGGAGUUCCCAUUGUGGCACAGUGGAACCGAAUCCAAUUAGGAACCAUGAGGUUGGGGGUUCAAUCCCUGGCCUCACUCAGUGGGUUUAGGAUCUGGCAUUGCUGUGAGCUGUGGUGUAGGUCACAGACGAGGCUAGGAUCUGCCGUUGCUGUGGCUGUGGUGUAGGCCAGUGGCUACAGGUCCAAUUGGACCCCUAGCCUGGAACUUUCAUAUGCUGCAGGUGCGGCCCUAGACAACAACAAUAACAAAUUGUGAAUCACUAUAGUGUACACCCAUAACUUACAUAAUACUGUACAUUAAUUAUAUUUCAAUUACAAAAAUCCCUGUCUUGGAGUUCCUAUUGUGGCUCAAAGGGUUAAGAACCCGACAUAGUGUCUGUGAGGAUGUGGGUUGGAUCCCUGGCAUUGCUCAGUGGAUUAAGGAUCUGGUGUUGCUGUGGCUAUGGCGUAGGCUGAAAGCUGCAACUUCAUUUUGAUCCCUAGCCUGGGAACUUCCAUAUGCCACAGACAUGGCCCUAAAAAAAAAGGAAAAAAAAAGAAAAAAUCCCUGGCUUGGAGUUCCCUGGUGGCUCAGUGGGUUAUGGAUCUACUACUGUGGCUCUGGUUAGUGCUGUGGUGCAAGUUCGAUCCCUGCACCGGAAACUUCAACAUGCCAUGGGCAGCAUCCCCCACCCCGCCACCAAUCCCUUAUUUUGCCUUUAUGCCUGGGCAAAGAUUUUUUUUUUCUUUUUUUUUCCCAGGCUAGAGAUCCCAUCAGAUCUGGAGCUGCUGGCCUACGCCACAGCCACAGCAACACCAGAUCCAAGCCGUGUCUGCGACCUACGCCACAGCUCACAGCAACGCUGGAUCCUUAACCCACUGAGCGAGGCCAGGGACCGACCCCUCGUCCUCAGAGAAUGCUAGUCAGGUUCAUUACCGCUGAGCCAUGACGGGACCUCCUGCAUUUAGAUUUUUAGCGAACAUCUACUUCGCGCCUCACCUCAAGUCAGUUGCUGGGGAGAAGCAGAAAGGAGGCGUGGGCUGGGCUAGUGCGCAGGUGGACUCAGCCCACCCCUAGUGAGGCUCCCUGCCUGGACUUCUGGGAGAGGCUUGAAUGAGCCUUGAAGGAGACACCUGACUAUCAAAGGAGGGGGUGAAACAGCAUCCCGAGCCAAGGAAGUGACAUAGUAAAAGCCUCCAAGGUGUUUGGGGUUCAUGACUCCUCGGCACAGUUAAGGCCUGGGGUCCACGGGACAGGACAGUCGGGGGAGAGAUGAAGUGAUGAGGCCGAAACCAGAGCAGCGGCUGACUGCACCUCAGGAGUCUGCGGGGGAAGGACUUUGUGGACGUGGCGAUUAUCUCAACUGUUUGUGGGGCAAUCACAGGAGCAUCUGGGGAGAAAACUGGCCCCAGAAGGAAAAGGGCUGCAGGCGGGAAGACCAGAAAGGAUGCUGUUCAGAUGGCCCAGGUGAAAGCCAGUGAGGGCCUAGACUGAGCAGACGUGGUGGGAUGGAGGGGCCCCAGGAGACAGCUCUGGAUUUGGCAGUUGCGGGGGAGGAGCUAGAACAUUGUGCUUUUACAAGAGUGGGUUAUUUAUCCAAAAACAAACAAAACAAAACAACAGCAACAACAGGGCAUUGCCGCAAGCUGUGGUGUAGGCUGCAGAUGUGGCUCGGAUCCAGCGUGGCUGUGGCUGUGCCGUAAGCCAGCAGCUGCAGCUCCGAUUCGAGCCCAGGAACUUCCAUAUGCCUCAGGUGGGGCCCUAGAAAAGGACAGAAAAAAAAAAAAAUACAAGAAUGGGCUUUGUCAUCAAAAGGUGCUGGCAAGAGCCCCAGCAUCCCUUGACUGACUGGGAAGUAACCAUUUCAAGCCUGCUUCCUGAUCUGGACACUGGGGAUGCAGCAGCAGCAGCAGCUCUGAGCUUGGGAGGAUUAUGGGGGCUACUCAGAGAAGCCUUGGCCUUGGUGGAUGCUCAGAACACAGCAGCAUCAUUUGGAUGGAGGAGGGAGCCAAGGAUAGCUUUCUGUCUGCUUUGACUGACUGGGUAGAGAGAGAUGCCAGCUUUGUUGGCGAGCACAGGAAGGGGCACUUUUGAGGCCACCACAGUCUUGGUGGUCAGUGUCAAAGCCAUGGCCUCGUUCACCCGUCAUCUCCGAUUGUACCUCUGGUCUCGGUCCUUGGCACUCAGCUCAGUGCUCAGGCACAUAGUAGGUGCUGCUCUUGAGGAGCAGGACCCAGCUUGCAGGUAGAGAGGCAGAUAUUACAGGCAGGUAGGGGGGCCCGAACCUGGGAAGGUGAGAGAGCAAAGAAAGGAGUUGGACCUGGGAGGAGGCUCAGGGAAUCCUGACUCUGAGGGGACGGGGAAGAAAGGGCAGGUCAGGAAGGAGGCUGGGAAACAAGAGUGUGGCAGGGGAAGGGAUGGGAGGCAGGAGGCAGGUGGGAGCCUAGGAGGGAAGAAGAGAGAGGUCACAUUUGGCUGAAAAAUCAGUGGAGGAUAAGGCCUGGCAAGUGGCUGAUGGAUUUGGUGUAGAGGAGGUCCCUGGGGAACUUGGCUAAAAGCAGAUUCAAAGGCCAAGAACAGGGAGAGAUGGACUUUAAGGAGAGGGACCCAGGAUACUCCGACCCUCCGGGGUACCAGAACCUUCCUCUCCAUAAGGACAUAUUUUGUUUUGACAGAGCCAUCUAAAGAUAAGCCAGGAGGUCUCUGGAGGUGGUGAACACCCGGUCCCUGGAGGGAGACAAGCAGAGCUCUGAGACCCACGCUGUCCGGGGACAUGCACAUUUAGCAUAGGGAAGGCUGUGCAAAAAAAAUAAAUAAAUAAGCCCCAUGUCCUUCUCAGCUAGGCUUGGCCGAUUCCUUGCAUCACAAAAGCCACCUAGAGGGUCACUCUUGCUAUUUCUAGUGUCCAAAGAGCCUCCCGCAGGGACGCACACACAGGGGUGGUCGUGCACAGACUCCCACAGAUCCACCCCAACACAAAAUAUAAAAUCUAUCUGUAUCUCCUGGUGUAAAGGGAUCCACGGCACGUCUCCCCAGGUUAUUCCCUUAAUUCAUUCCCUUUC
RNAcentral lists this long non-coding RNA (4225 nucleotides) under Sus scrofa (pig). Its description in RNAcentral is "lncRNA (ENSSSCG00025047927.1)". Lineage: Eukaryota; Metazoa; Chordata; Mammalia; Artiodactyla; Suidae. The record is from RNAcentral.